This 253-nucleotide ribosomal RNA is filed under the name uncultured bacterium. RNAcentral describes it as "partial 16S ribosomal RNA". It matches the Rfam family "Bacterial small subunit ribosomal RNA", at positions 524 to 776 of the family's 1533-position model. The record is from RNAcentral.
UACGUAGGGGGCGAGCGUUGUCCGGAUUUAUUGGGCGUAAAGAGCGUGUAGGCGGCCAGGUAGGUCGGUUGUGAAAACUGGAGGCUUAACCUUCAGACGUCGACCGAAACCAUCUGGCUAGAGUCCGGAAGAGGAGAGUGGAAUUCCUGGUGUAGCGGUGAAAUGCGCAGAUAUCAGGAAGAACACCCGUGGCGAAGGCGGCCAUCUGGAAGAUUACUGACGCUGAGACGCGAAAGCGUGGGGAGCAAACAGG